Molecule: ribosomal RNA, 508 nt
Filed under: Corynoptera forcipata
Lineage: Eukaryota; Metazoa; Arthropoda; Insecta; Diptera; Sciaridae
Description: partial small subunit ribosomal RNA
Source: RNAcentral
GUCUUUUUGUAAUUUAUAUAAAGUCUAACCUGCCCAUUGAAUUUAUUUUAAAGGCUGCGGUAUUUUGACCGUACAAAGGUAGCAUAAUCAUUAGUUUUUUAAUUGGGAACUGGAAUGAAUGGUUGAAUGAAAAAUUAACUGUUUUAAAUAAAAUAAUGAAUUUUACUUUUUAGUUAAAAGGCUAAAAUAAUUUUAAAAGACGAGAAGACCCUAUAGAGUUUUAUAUUUUUAUUUAUAUUUUUUAAUAAGAUUUAUUAAAUUUUUAAAUUUAAAAAUAUUUUGUUGGGGUGAUAAUAAAAUUUAAUUAACUUUUAUAAAUUUAUUAACAUUAAUAUAUGAUUAUAUGAUCCAUUAUUAUUGAUUAAAAAAUUAAAUUACCUUAGGGAUAACAGCGUAAUUUUUUUUUAAGUUCUUAUUAAUAAAAAAUUUUGCGACCUCGAUGUUGGAUUAAGAUUUAAUUUUAGGUGCAGCAGUUUAAAUUUUAAGUCUGUUCGACUUUUAAAUUCUU